Molecule: ribosomal RNA, 536 nt
Filed under: Dokdonia sp.
Lineage: Bacteria; Pseudomonadati; Bacteroidota; Flavobacteriia; Flavobacteriales; Flavobacteriaceae
Description: bacterial SSU rRNA
Rfam family: Bacterial small subunit ribosomal RNA
Source: RNAcentral
ACUCUGAUCCAGCCAUGCCGCGUGUAGGAGACUGCCCUAUGGGUUGUAAACUACUUUUAUAUGGGAAGAAUAAGGUCUACGUGUAGAUCGAUGACGGUACCAUAAGAAUAAGCACCGGCUAACUCCGUGCCAGCAGCCGCGGUAAUACGGAGGGUGCAAGCGUUAUCCGGAAUCAUUGGGUUUAAAGGGUCCGUAGGCGGGCAUAUAAGUCAGUGGUGAAAGUCUGUGGCUUAACCAUAGAAUUGCCAUUGAUACUGUAUGUCUUGAAUUAUUGUGAAGUGGUUAGAAUAUGUAGUGUAGCGGUGAAAUGCUUAGAGAUUACAUAGAAUACCGAUUGCGAAGGCAGAUCACUAACAAUAUAUUGACGCUGAUGGACGAAAGCGUAGGUAGCGAACAGGAUUAGAUACCCUGGUAGUCUACGCCGUAAACGAUGGAUACUAGUUGUUUGGUUUUCGGACUGAGUGACUAAGCGAAAGUGAUAAGUAUCCCACCUGGGGAGUACGUUCGCAAGAAUGAAACUCAAAUGAAUUGACGGA